RNAcentral lists this ribosomal RNA (497 nucleotides) under uncultured bacterium. Its description in RNAcentral is "partial 16S ribosomal RNA". It matches the Rfam family "Bacterial small subunit ribosomal RNA", at positions 28 to 507 of the family's 1533-position model. The record is from RNAcentral.
GAUGAACGCUGGCGGCGUGCCUAAUACAUGCAAGUCGAGCGAACAGACGAGGAGCUUGCUCCUCUGACGUUAGCGGCGGACGGGUGAGUAACACGUGGAUAACCUACCUAUAAGACUGGGAUAACUUCGGGAAACCGGAGCUAAUACCGGAUAAUAUAUUGAACCGCAUGGUUCAAUAGUGAAAGACGGUUUUGCUGUCACUUAUAGAUGGAUCCGCGCCGCAUUAGCUAGUUGGUAAGGUAACGGCUUACCAAGGCAACGAUGCGUAGCCGACCUGAGAGGGUGAUCGGCCACACGGGAACUAAGACACGGUCCAGACUCCUACGGGAGGCAGCAGUAGGGAAUCUUCCGCAAUGGGCGAAAGCCGGACGGAGCAACGCCGCGUGAGUGAUGAAGGUCUUCGGAUCGUAAAACUCUGUUAUUAGGGAAGAACAAAUGUGUAAGUAACUAUGCACGUCUUGACGGUACCUAAUCAGAAAGCCACGGCUAACUACGUG